RNAcentral lists this ribosomal RNA (473 nucleotides) under uncultured bacterium. Its description in RNAcentral is "bacterial SSU rRNA". It matches the Rfam family "Bacterial small subunit ribosomal RNA", at positions 43 to 520 of the family's 1533-position model. The record is from RNAcentral.
CAGGCCUAACACAUGCAAGUCGAACGGUGGUAGCAAUACCAUAGUGGCGCACGGGUGCAUAACACGUAGCUAACCUGCCCAGAACUGGGGGAUAGCCCGCCGAAAGGCGGAUUAACACCGCAUAAUAGAUACUAGUGGCAUCACUGGUUGAUUAAAGCUACGGAGGUGAUGGAUGGGGCUGCGGGGCAUUAGUGAGUUGGUUGGGUAACGGCUGACCAAGGCGACGAUGACGAGGGGAGCUGAGAGGCUUGUGCCCCCACACGGGCACUGAGUGACGGGCCCGACGCCGACGGGAGGCAGCAGGAGGGAAGAUUUGGGCAAGGGGCGAGAGCCUGACCCAGCCUUGCCGCGUGCAGGAAGAAGGCUUUGAGGAGGAGGAAACGGCGUUAGAGAGGGAAGAUGAAGCGUGACUGUGAGCGUGAUGACGGGACUGACAGAAGAAGCACCGGCGAACGACGUGCCAGCAGCCGCGG